This 492-nucleotide ribosomal RNA is filed under the name uncultured bacterium. RNAcentral describes it as "partial 16S ribosomal RNA". It matches the Rfam family "Bacterial small subunit ribosomal RNA", at positions 29 to 507 of the family's 1533-position model. The record is from RNAcentral.
AGUGAACGCUGGCGGUAGGCCUAACACAUGCAAGUCGAACGGCAGCACAGUAAGAGCUUGCUCUUACGGGUGGCGAGUGGCGGACGGGUGAGGAAUACAUCGGAAUCUACUUUUUCGUGGGGGAUAACGUAGGGAAACUUACGCUAAUACCGCAUACGACGUACGGGUGAAAGCAGGAGAUCUUCGGACCUUGCGCGAUUGAAUGAGCCGAUGUCGGAUUAGCUAGUUGGCGGGGUAAAGGCACACCAAGGCGACGAUCCGUAGCUGGUCUGAGAGGAUGAUCAGCCACACUGGAACUGAGACACGGUCCAGACUCCUACGGGAGGCAGCAGUGGGGAAUAUUGGACAAUGGGCGCAAGCCUGAUCCAGCCAUACCGCGUGGGUGAAGAAGGCCUUCGGGUUGUAAAGCCCUUUUGUUGGGAAAGAAAAGCAGCAGGUGAAUACCCCGCUGUUCUGACGGUACCCAAAGAAUAAGCACCGGCUAACUUCGUG